CUCUUCCCGUCUUCUCACUCUUUUUUAUUUUCUCGUUUAUUUUCUCAUAAUCUUUUAAUUUGUCCUUGAAAUCAGACAUCUUUUUCGCACCAUAUAAAAUAGAUUUAUUUAAUGCCAUCUCGUCGACACCGUCAAUCACGUAUUGCAUAAGUGCGUCGUCUUCGACAUUUCCUCUUGCAGCAAUUUCUCUCAUGCGAUAAAAAUAUUCCAGAACAUUCUCUUUCGGUCGCCGUUUACUCUCGUUGAGUUGCAUGUGUAUCUGUUUGCUAUUUACCUUCGACUGAAACUCAUUCAACAGCGCAAACUUCAAUGUUUCCCAUGAGUUCAAAUGUUUUUCGCUUAAAACAAAUAAUUUGGCAAUGCCUUUCAAAGACUUCUUUGCAAAAAUAAGUUUCU
This 396-nucleotide long non-coding RNA is filed under the name Drosophila guanche. Lineage: Eukaryota; Metazoa; Arthropoda; Insecta; Diptera; Drosophilidae. The record is from RNAcentral.